Long non-coding RNA from Globicephala melas (long-finned pilot whale), 2120 nucleotides. RefSeq lists it as uncharacterized. Lineage: Eukaryota; Metazoa; Chordata; Mammalia; Artiodactyla; Delphinidae. The record is from RefSeq and is a predicted model, not a curated record.
CGUCUGUGGUGACCGAGGACGGGCUGGCGCUGGGAGCCGGAAUCAGCCGCUCAAAGCCCGAUUCGGGUCACUGGAAUUCUUCACAUGCAGUGCUUAAAGCAAUCCUUCAGGACUAAAGGUAGAAGGUGGCUGUGAGUGGAGUGACUCAGGUGGGACCAGCAUGGAUGUGCGGUGGAGUAGCCUGAAGCCAGGCUGCAGGAGGAAUUUGUCUCAAAGACUAAGUCUCACAGCAUCUCUUUGGAAAAGCUAAAAUCACAUGGAAUGAUUUGUGGCAAAUCCCCCCAGUCUGCAUGCUUGUAAUAGAGCAGAACGUGUCAGAUAAAUAGAAUGUAUAUAUUUUGGAGAAGAAUUUCAGCUUAAAUGUUGCCUAAACCUCAUUCAUAGGUAGAUUCUGGAAAGAAGAAUGGCUGAAACCUGGGCGCCAGAUCCUUGAAUGCCACAUUAUAACAUACACGUCACAGAAGUGGUUGGGUAGCAACGUGUGUAUGUACUUGGACACUGUAUUUUGAGUACACUGGGGACCAUGGAAGCAUCGGGACUCCCUCUUCCAGGGAGCUGGAAUCAUCGCAAGCACCUCAGCCAGUGGGUGUGAAACAACCCCCAGGAUUCUGGGUUUAUACUAAUGGAGGUAGAGCACAAACUCUCAAUUUUGGGAACAGCCCCUUCCAACUCUCACAACUUAGUAUUUCUCAUCAACCACAAGAUUGACUGAGCCUUCAUGGCCAAGAAACUUCUGCUGUGCAGAGAUGAAAGCUGUUACUCGUAACUUGACAGCAUGCUCCCGUUAAAUGAUAUCCUGUGCAGGGGACCAAGAAGUGGACAAGAGGAAGAGAGGAGCUUCAAGUGUGUUUUGGGAGACUCUCAGGAAGCACAGCACAUCUCUGGUGAUCUAAGCCUCGAUGCCCGUGAUGCUGUCUUGGACCUGAAACACCCUCGCUUUCUCCUCUCCCGGUGCCAAGGAUGCUGUGGCUCCUCCACGCUCGGGACAUGGUCCUGAAGCCGAGAUGCCCACACGCUUGCUUGAACCUCUGCGGGGCCUGCCUUCUCUGUCUCCAGCAAAGGAAAGGAGCUCCGAGAAGGUUCUGUGAAGUGCUUCUCUUCUCUGUUGCUGCCUUUAUAGAACUCAGGUCACAUCGGACUUAGAGAGACUCUUCAAGCCGGCAGGACAUGGUCAUCCCACAAACACCUUCAUUUGUGGUGUACUUGAACUUUCUGUGUGUAGGACAGUCAUCAACCUGUAGUUCAUCCCCACACUCUGGCCAGAAGCACAGAGGGGGUCAGGGCGUCGAUGGCGUCAUCCUGAAGGGAGUGCCCGGCUCUCAUCAGAAACAUGGCUGGUGAGCUCGGACCAUGCUGGGGAGCCUGGGGCUUCUUUGGCCUUCACGGCAGCAUUUAAAGAGCACGCUCGGCCACAAGUGCCAUCCUGGGUGGUUUUAUGAGUCUGGUGGUUUAUUUUGUUUGUUGUUUUGUUUGUUUUUGUAGAAAUGAAAAAAUAUUCACUCCAUGAAAAGAAAAAAGAAAACCCCUAUUUUUACAGCAUAUUGAUUCUCAACCAUAAUUUCCCUACAUGGAUAUAAACAUGCAGCUGGUACCUGGAGCCUCAGUUUGAGGAACGUGUAGGACACAAGGUCGUUCAGGAAGAAACUGUAGGAAGUCAGUCUGGCAAGAGGUGAAAACAUAGACCAGUGAGAGCCUGACCAGCAAUCUGGAAGUUUCUGAGACUCACUUAUACUCUAGAGAUGUCCCAUCCAGCCACUUCCAUUCGUUUUCCUGCUCUGAGUCUGUGAGGCCGAUCCAGUAGUUCUCUCUCCCUACCAUCUGCUUUUUGAUCCAUUGCUGAAAAAUAAAUCAGAAACGGUACAUUACUAUUUCUUGAACAGAUGUUUGGGGGACUUUCCCCUCAAUGUUUAGAAAAGAAGGACACUUUAUAAGAGGAUGUUUAUCAGACUUUAACAGAGAAGCAUAUGAGAUUUGAAUAAGAUAAAGCUGUCUCAAAAAACACAAUAAAAAGGAUGUUUGUCAGAAUUUGUGCACUGCUUUUGCUGUCCUCUCGUGACUGCACUUGUCUUGCACUGUUUUGGGGGCUUUGACGUUUUUUCCUCUUAUAAGCUUAUAAGCAA